This 245-nucleotide ribosomal RNA is filed under the name uncultured bacterium. RNAcentral's name for it is "partial small subunit ribosomal RNA". It matches the Rfam family "Bacterial small subunit ribosomal RNA", at positions 26 to 285 of the family's 1533-position model. The record is from RNAcentral.
AGAAUCAACGCUGGCGGCGUGCCUAACACAUGCAAGUCGCACGAGAAAGUGGAGCAAUCCAUGAGUAAAGUGGCGCACGGGUGAGUAACACGUGAAUGAUCUACCUCCGAGUGGGGAAUAACUGAGAGAAAUCUUAGCUAAUACCGCAUAAUACCCACGGGUCAAAGCAGCAAUGCGCUUGGAGAGGAGUUCGCGGCCGAUUAGCUAGUUGGCGGGGUAAUGGCCCACCAAGGCGAUGAUCGGUA